RNAcentral lists this long non-coding RNA (640 nucleotides) under Homo sapiens (human). Its description in RNAcentral is "HSALNT0396509". Lineage: Eukaryota; Metazoa; Chordata; Mammalia; Primates; Hominidae. The record is from RNAcentral.
GUCUCUCGCUGACGCCAGAGAUCCAGCUAUCGUCUUCACUGCUCUGUGCCGUCAGCUCCUAGAGGCCCAGCCUCUGUGGCCCUGUGACCUGCAGGUAUUAGGAGGGUCACAGCUAGGACGCCGGGACCCCCUGGAAGCCUAGAAAUGAACGGGGAAGAUAACCGAAGGGUGGUUUGAGAAACCCACCAGGCCAACUGGGAAUUAGAAUUGAUUCAAAACUCCAUUGAUCGCCUGACCUCCAUAAGCUCCUACUCUGCUGCAGUUGAGUGCUGCCACUUAAAUCCUGCAGUCCCGAGAUCCGGUUAUAACCAAUGCAUUUAGAUUUUUCAUUUCGGUGGCAACAAUCUUCAUUGUAAGUUCUGUCCUACAGAGAAGUGUGGUGAUCAAGCUCUUUGGAGAUACUGGGACUCCUCUCACAAAUGUAUGUCUCACAGUUAUGAUGAAUGGUGUAUCUCCUGGAUCUUCCUCAGUUGAGUAUGUUUUAAAGGAAAAAUACACUUUAUCAUUCAAAUCUUUCAAAGCUUUUGAAUCACUUUAUAGCAAACCAAUGAAGAUCCAGCAUUUCAUUCUUUCUUUUCUUUUUUCUUUUUUUUUUUUUUUUGAGACAGAGUUUCACUCUUGUUGCCCAGGGGCUGGAGUG